GUCCUAGCCCUAAACGAUGCUCAUUAGGUGUGGGAGGUAUCGACCCCUUCCGCGCCGUAGCUAACGCAUUAAAUGAGCCGCCUGGGGAGUACGGCCGCAAGGUUGAAACUCAAAGGAAUUGACGGGGGCCCGCACAAGCGGUGGAGCAUGUGGUUUAAUUCGAUGCAACGCGAAGAACCUUACCAGGGUUUGACAUGUCACGUAGUUCUUUGAAAGAAGAAUGUGCCUUCGGGAACGUGAACACAGGUGGUGCAUGGCUGUCGU
RNAcentral lists this ribosomal RNA (264 nucleotides) under uncultured bacterium. Its description in RNAcentral is "partial 16S ribosomal RNA". It matches the Rfam family "Bacterial small subunit ribosomal RNA", at positions 793 to 1055 of the family's 1533-position model. The record is from RNAcentral.